This 1840-nucleotide long non-coding RNA is filed under the name Ananas comosus (pineapple). Its description in RNAcentral is "long non-coding RNA (ACOM_LNC027206)". Lineage: Eukaryota; Viridiplantae; Streptophyta; Magnoliopsida; Poales; Bromeliaceae. The record is from RNAcentral.
GCCAGCGUCUUUUAAGAUAACAAACCACAGUGACAAAUAUGAAUAUUACUGAACUUUUGAAAGAAUUAAUAUAAAAAGUUAAACUUUAUAUGAAUAUAUCUGCUAUUCAUAUAUUUACAGAGAACUGUAUGCAAUUAACUCUUAUUUGUAUUAUUGUAUAUUUUGGUCCAUCAAUAACAUCGCAGACCUACUGACCGUUCCUAGAGCAAGUGGCAAAGGGUUUGGUGGUUGGUAUCCGAGACCCAAGUUCGAAUCCUAGUUGAUUCAAAUUUCCAGCUAAGUUUAUUUAUAAAUAAAAUAAACCAAGCGGGUAGCGUGCUACCUAUCUCUUAAAAAAAAAAAAAAAGACAUCGCAGACCUGGCCCAUUUCAUUUGGACCAAACACCGUAAAUGGGUAUUGCAACUUGCAAAUUCAUCAAGCAUUAGCACUCAAUUUCUCACCAAAUCUAUUACUAUAUAUAAAAGUAGAACCCUUAAUGAACCCUACGUGAGAAGCUGACACGUGACUUUCUAUAUGCUUGCCACGUGUCAAUCUCAAAUAUGGAUAUUUAAAUUAUUACUUAAUUAAUUGCGAAUUAUUAUUUAAAAUCUAAAUUUCUUUACCCUACGUGAGAAGCUGACACGUGGCUUUCUAUAUGCUUGCCACGUGUCAAUCUCAAAUAUGGAUAUUUAAAUUAUUACUUAAUUAAUUGCUAAUCUAUUACUAUAUAUAAAAGUAGAACCCUUAAUGAACCCUACGUGAGAAGCUGACACGUGGCUUUCUAUAUGCUAUUAUUACUUAAUUAAUUGCGAAUUAUUAUUUAAAAUCUAAAUUUCGUUACCCUACGGACAUAAAAAUAUUAGUGAAAAAUGAUAGAGACAUUUUUGGAAAGAGAAAAAAUUCAAAACUCACGUUUUUAUAAAAAAAUAAUAUUUUUUACUAUAUUAUUAAAAAUCACAUAUAAUGAAGGAAAUUUUAUUUCAAAGUCACCUAUAAUUAUGUUGAGAUAUUUGAGAAAUUUAUGGAUAUUAUGUUGCCAAAGAAUUGGCGGUGCCGAUAUUACGCGUGAGAAGGAAAAUAUUUAUCUUUAUUUGGGAAUAAAUUAUUACUUAGUUAAUUAUUUAAAAUGAUUGGUUAAAAAUUUCUGAACAUAAAAAUAUUAGUAGAAAAGGAUAGGCAUUUUUGGAAAGAGGAAAAAAUUUAAAACUCACAUCACUCCUGUAAUUUUCUUCGCUCUUAAAUAUUGAUGCUUUAAAAUAGAACAUAUUAUUCCCUACUGUCACUUCUGUAAUUUUCAUUUCGUAAUUUUUUUCCCUUCUGUCACUCAUGUAAUUUUUUAUUUUCAUGCAACAAAAGUUUUUUUCUUUAUAUUUUCUUGAAAAUCAACAUCUAUAUAUUUUUGAAUCUUAAAAGCGACAGUAGGAACAUAAUAUAUGUGUGAUAACUCUAAUUUGUGUCAAAUAUGAAAGUUUAGUUGAUCUCAUUAUAUGCUUAAAUAAUAAUGUCAUUUGUAAUUUUUCAAAUCAAUUUUAGUUAUCAUUUUAUUUCGCACAUCAAUAUGUAAAUGUAAAUUAUUUUGCAUACCAAUUCAUAGAUAAUAGAGCAGGAUUGAAUUUUGCAUUUUAGUUGAAUAUUUACUUUGGUCCAAUUUUUUUUUUCUCUAGCUUGUGUACUUUAAUAUGUACUAUAAUUAAGAUUGAUAGCAUAUUUUUUUAUUUGUUAAAAAAUAUAAAAUUAAUUAAAAAAUCUUUUUGUUAUCAUCACAUAAUAAUUUUUAUUAUUCUAUAUUAUUAUAUUAGCCGUGCAUCGCACGGGUGAAAAUCUAGUUCCUUUCUAUUACUCAUGCAAAUUCCAUUGAUU